RNAcentral lists this ribosomal RNA (266 nucleotides) under uncultured Staphylococcus sp. RNAcentral describes it as "partial 16S ribosomal RNA". It matches the Rfam family "Bacterial small subunit ribosomal RNA", at positions 96 to 354 of the family's 1533-position model. The record is from RNAcentral. Lineage: Bacteria; Bacillati; Bacillota; Bacilli; Caryophanales; Staphylococcaceae.
CGGCGGACGGGUGAGUAACACGUGGAUAACUUACCUAUAAGACUGGGAUAACUUCGGGAAACCGGAGCUAAUACCGGAUAAUAUAUUGAACCGCAUGGUUCAAUAGUGAAAGACGGUUUUGCUGUCACUUAUAGAUGGAUCCGCGCCGCAUUAGCUAGUUGGUAAGGUAACGGCUUACCAAGGCAACGAUGCGUAGCCGACCUGAGAGGGUGAUCGGCCACACUGGAACUGAGGCACGGUCCAGACUCCUACGGGAGGCAGCAGGG